GUGUUGUGUGAAAGGAGAAAAGGCUAGUACUCCUCUUGACAAGGAUGGACGAUGUCCUUAUACAUACAUGGUUGAAGCAUUGCCACCUACUUAGUGGAAUCUCUAAAUGUCUAA
Pygocentrus nattereri (red-bellied piranha) is the source of this 114-nucleotide small nuclear RNA. NCBI's taxonomy places the organism in Eukaryota, Metazoa, Chordata, Actinopteri, Characiformes, Serrasalmidae. The record is from Ensembl.